Molecule: microRNA precursor, 130 nt
Filed under: Myotis lucifugus (little brown bat)
Lineage: Eukaryota; Metazoa; Chordata; Mammalia; Chiroptera; Vespertilionidae
Description: miRNA (ENSMLUG00000028615.1)
Source: RNAcentral
CGCCCCGUGCGGCAGCUGGUGGCGGCCUCCGCGGAGAGCUGGGGAACCGAGAUCGGGAGAGCCCCCCGCGCACGGGCCCCGCCGCCGGGACGAGCGGAGCGGAUCGGAGCGGAGAGGUGGGAGCGGGAGC